GACCUGGUGGCGGAGUGGUCCGCACCCACAAAUAAUAGUAGGAGACGAGCGUUUUCGCUGGGAGGUCCUUGUUCGACUCAAGGCCAGGUUG
This is a non-coding RNA of Mycena rebaudengoi, 91 nucleotides long. NCBI's taxonomy places the organism in Eukaryota, Fungi, Basidiomycota, Agaricomycetes, Agaricales, Mycenaceae. The record is from the annotation of a GenBank genome assembly.